CCUACGGGGGGCAGCAGUGAGGAAUAUUGGUCAAUGGGCGUAAGCCUGAACCAGCCAAGUCGCGUGAGGGAUGAAGGUUCUAUGGUUCGUAAACUUCUUUUAUAAGGGAAUAAAGUGUGGGACGUGUCCUGUUUUGUAUGUACCUUAUGAAUAAGGAUCGGCUAACUCCGUGCCAGCAGCCGCGGUAAUACGGAGGAUACGAGCGUUAUCCGGAUUUAUUGGGUUUAAAGGGUGCGUAGGCGGACUUUUAAGUCAUCGGUGAAAGCCUGGGGCUCAACCUUUGAAUUGCCGUUGAAACUGGGAGGCUUGAGUAUGUUUGAGGCAGGCGGAAUGCGUGGUGUAGCGGUGAAAUGCUUAGAUAUCACGCAGAACCCCGAUUGCGAAGGCAGCCUGCCAAGCCAUGACUGACGCUGAUGCACGAAAGCGUGGGGAUCAAACAGGAUUAGAUACCCUUGUAGUC
Molecule: ribosomal RNA, 460 nt
Filed under: uncultured bacterium
Lineage: Bacteria
Description: partial 16S ribosomal RNA
Rfam family: Bacterial small subunit ribosomal RNA
Source: RNAcentral